Molecule: ribosomal RNA, 383 nt
Filed under: uncultured bacterium
Lineage: Bacteria
Description: bacterial SSU rRNA
Rfam family: Bacterial small subunit ribosomal RNA
Source: RNAcentral
AUUGAACGCUGGCGGCAUGCCUUACACAUGCAAGUCGAGCGGCAGCGCGGGGGCAACCCUGGCGGCGAGCGGCGAACGGGUGAGUAAUACAUCGGAACGUGUCCAGUAGCGGGGGAUAACCUGUCGAAAGAUAGGCUAAUACCGCAUACGAUCUACGGAUGAAAGCGGGGACCGCAAGGCCUCGCACUGUUGGAGCGGCCGAUGUCGGAUUAGCUAGUUGGCGGGGUAAAGCCCACCAAGGCGACGAUCCGUAGCUGGUCUGAGAGGACGACCAGCCACACUGGAACUGAGACACGGUCCAGACUCCUACGGGAGGCAGCAGUGGGGAAUUUUGGACAAUGGGGCAACCCUGAUCCAGCCAUGCCGCGUGAGUGAAGAAGGCC